GAGCGGACAGAUGGGAGCUUGCUCCCUGAUGUUAGCGGCGGACGGGUGAGUAACACGUGGGUAACCUGCCUGUAAGACUGGGAUAACUCCGGGAAACCGGGGCUAAUACCGGAUGCUUGAUUGAACCGCAGGGUUCAAUUAUAAAAGGUGGCUUUUAGCUACCAUUAACAAAUGGACCCGCGGCGCAUAACCUAUUUGGGGAGGUACCGGCUCCCCAGGGCAACAAUGCGUACCCAACCUGAGAGGGUGAUCGCCCACCUGGGACGAAAAACGGCCCAAACUCCUACGGGAGGAAGCAGUAGGGAAUCUUCCGAAUGGCCGAAAGUCUGACGGACCACGCCGGGGGGGAAGGAAGGUUUUCGGAUCGAAAAUUUUUGGUAGGGAAGAACAAGUACCGUUCGAUAGGGGGUACCUUGACCGUCCUAACCAGAAAGCACGGCUAACUACGUGGC
Molecule: ribosomal RNA, 452 nt
Filed under: Bacillus licheniformis
Lineage: Bacteria; Bacillati; Bacillota; Bacilli; Caryophanales; Bacillaceae
Description: bacterial SSU rRNA
Rfam family: Bacterial small subunit ribosomal RNA
Source: RNAcentral